GAGGCCGUGCGAAGUUUUUCUUUUCUUUUUUUUAAAGGUCACCCCGCUCCAACAAUUUGAUAUCUCGUUAGCCUUGAAUUAUCUCGAAAAUUGAUUGAUUGUAAGCUCAUGUCGGCCGAGGAAGAAUGAUGACUCUGGCAGAAACGAAGAAAAUUUCCCCGAUGCGAAAGACGAACGUAAAUAUAUACUUUAUCCCACAAUCGCAUGAGCGAAUGCGGAUAUCGGUGUUGUCGGGGCGGACUCAAACGCGAUACAUGGCUUCCUCAGACUGCGGUAUGCAGAGGGGCUGACUUCAAACGUUGGAGUAAUAACACUAUCUACUCGUACAGUAAUUGCCAAAGGUGGGAAUGGCGCAAUAAGACUCAGGAGGGUAAAGAGUAGCUGUUUCUUUGAGGAAGUUUGGUGGUUGCAUGAAAGAGACCUCUUUUCUUGCC
RNAcentral lists this small RNA (434 nucleotides) under Histoplasma capsulatum. Its description in RNAcentral is "hypothetical RNA". The record is from RNAcentral. Lineage: Eukaryota; Fungi; Ascomycota; Eurotiomycetes; Onygenales; Ajellomycetaceae. RNAcentral also lists the same sequence under 1 other name.